AUUGAACGCUGGCGGCAGGCCUAACACAUGCAAGUCGAGCGGAUGAAGGGAGCUUGCUCCUGGAUUCAGCGGCGGACGGGUGAGUAAUGCCUAGGAAUCUGCCUGGUAGUGGGGGAUAACGUCCGGAAACGGGCGCUAAUACCGCAUACGUCCUGAGGGAGAAAGUGGGGGAUCUUCGGACCUCACGCUAUCAGAUGAGCCUAGGUCGGAUUAGCUAGUUGGUGGGGUAAAGGCCUACCAAGGCGACGAUCCGUAACUGGUCUGAGAGGAUGAUCAGUCACACUGGAACUGAGACACAGUCCAGACUCCUACGGGAGGCAGCAGUGGGGAAUAUUGGACAAUGGGCGAAAGCCUGACCCAGCCAUGCCGCGUGUGUGAAGAAGGUCUUCGGAUUGUAAAGCACUUUAAGUUGGGAGGAAGGGCAGUAAGUUAAUACCUUGCUGUUUUGACGUUACCAACAGAAUAAGCACCGGCUAACUUCGUG
This 484-nucleotide ribosomal RNA is filed under the name uncultured bacterium. RNAcentral describes it as "partial 16S ribosomal RNA". It matches the Rfam family "Bacterial small subunit ribosomal RNA", at positions 30 to 507 of the family's 1533-position model. The record is from RNAcentral.